This 159-nucleotide ribosomal RNA is filed under the name Buellia erubescens. RNAcentral describes it as "5.8S ribosomal RNA". It matches the Rfam family "5.8S ribosomal RNA". Rfam says of the family: 5.8S ribosomal RNA (5.8S rRNA) is a component of the large subunit of the eukaryotic ribosome. It is transcribed by RNA polymerase I as part of the 45S precursor that also contains 18S and 28S rRNA. The record is from RNAcentral. Lineage: Eukaryota; Fungi; Ascomycota; Lecanoromycetes; Caliciales; Caliciaceae. RNAcentral also lists the same sequence under 2 other names.
AAAACUUUCAACAACGGAUCUCUUGGUUCUGGCAUCGAUGAAGAACGCAGCGAAAUGCGAUAAGUAAUGUGAAUUGCAGAAUUCAGUGAAUCAUCGAAUCUUUGAACGCACAUUGCGCCCUCUGGUAUUCCGGGGGGCAUGCCUGUCCGAGCGUCGUUA